AACGCAUAGUAUCAUUCAGAGCAAAAACCAAUUUGAGGGUGAGUCUUGGCUCUGCAUCUACUCUCAGUGAACAUGACCAAGACAUCCCCAUUCUCUGAUCCUCAUCUGGAAUCUAGGUAUUAUAAAUAACAAUUUCCAUAUUCUCUUCAGAGGGUUAUUUUGAAGCUCAUAAACGUUAUUAGUCAGGACAGUGCUUUGGAACCUGGCAGAUGCCCUGGUGCUGUGUGUUAUUGUCAUUGUUUGGGGUUCUGAAUGUAGGGAGCCUGUCUUACUGAUUUUAUGCCAUCCCCUGUCCCACCCCAUGUACAAGUGCUUAGCUAUCAUCCUGGGGAAACACAAAGCAAAUGUUUGCUGAGUUGAGCUAUAGAUUUAGAGAGAUAAUAGCCCUGGGAGGGUUGACUGAGUCCAGGUAGGGAAUCCCAUCGUGUGGCCAUCUGGAGCUUGGGUAUUGUUAGUUUGGGGGGCAUUUUUUUAGGGUACCCAAUCUGCAGGGAUCAAAGGUCACAGCCUAGGGCACCACAAAUAUUAAGAGGAAAUUUAGAGAUAGGAUAAGGUAGGGUGAAGAUUAAGAAAUCCUUAAGAGUGGGGAUGAAGGAAGCUCAGAUUUUUUUUAAUUAAAAAUUUUUUUAAAUUUAAAUUUUAGUUAACAUACAGCAUAAUAUUAGUUUCUGGAGUAGAAUUCAGUGACUUACCACUUACAUACAACACCCAGUGCUCAUCACAAGUGCCCUCCUUAAUGCCCAUCCCCUAUCUAGCCCAUCCCCCGCCCACCUCCCCCCAGCCAUCCUCUGUCCUUAAGAGUCACUUAUGGCUUGUUUCCCUUUCUUCUUCUUUUCUUUCCCCCUUCCCAUAUGUUCAUCUGUUUUCUUUCUUAAAUUCCACACAUGAGUGAGAUCAUAUGGUAUUUGUCUUUCUCUGACUGACUUACUUCACUUAGCAUUAUACACUCUAGCUCCAUCCAUGUCAAGAUUUCAUUCUUUUUGUAGGCUGAGUAGUAUUCCACUGUGUGUGUGUGUGUGUGUGUGUGUGUGUGUGUGUGACAUCUGGAUCCAUUCAUCAGUUGAUGGAAAUCUAGGGUCUCCAUAGAUUGGCUAUUGUGGUAAUGCUGCUAUAAAUGUUGGGGUGCACAUACCCUUUUGCCUCUGUAUUUUUGUAUCCUUUGGAUAAAUACCUAGUAGUGCAAUUGCUGGAGCAUAGGUUAAAAACUUCUAUUUUUCACUUUUUGAAGAAGCUCCAUACUGUUCUCCAUUGUGGCUGCACCAGUUUGCAUUCCCACCAACAGUGCAAGAGGGUUGGGGAAACUCAGAUUUUAAAAAUACUUGGGUACCUGUUGCCACUUUCAUUUACAAAUCAUCAUCUGGCUUCAUUUUUCCAACUGCCUUGUGAAUGUUAUCGUUCCCAUUUAGAGGUGAAGAGACGUGCUCAGACCUGGCACUUCCUCCAGCGCUCCAUAUUAACUCCCUGACCCUGGACUGAGGUCUUGAGGUCCCAUUGCCCUAAUGGAGCAGGAGUAAGAUGACCUUCUUAAAAGACCGGCUGACUAGUUUCUCAGGGGAGAGAAAACCAAUAGGUGUGGUGACUGUAAGAAAACAUUUGGUUGGAACUCACAGCUUGUCAUUCAGGAGUGAGCUCACAGCAGGGAAGAGAAGCCCAAUAGAACUUCCUGAGUCAUUGCCUCCCCACACCCCCAAGUUGGGGGUUGGGGGUGGGGCUGGUCCCUGCAUCUCCAGCCAGUAUAUCCACUCAACUCACAAACAUCCAUCCUGGUAGUGCAUAGGGUGGGGGGACACGCAGGGGCAGGGAGUCUGAAGGGAGAUGGGGAAGUAAACUGGUGAUCACCAGCAGCUGGCCUCCCCUCCUCCCCGGCCCCUGAGCCUCUAGCUUCCCAGGGGCAGGGGUGAGUCUGAUUAAAAACCGUUUGUCAGGACGUGCCCACCAGCUGCCGGCUGACCUCAGAGGCUGUUUAAUGUCCAGCAACACAAUGUCAGUCACAACCUUUGCCCUGUCGGCACCAUUGGAGGAUGGAGCUUAUUCCAAGAAGGAAAACAUCUUUAAAAUAGAAGCUAGCCUCCUCAGCCCACCCCUUGGCUCUUCCUGCAACUUCAAGGCGCUCGUUGAAGCCUGGAGGUGGCUGUUUUCCUUCUCCAGUAGAGCCAAGAAAGGGGCCAGGUGGGAGAUUUACCAAGUGGAGCAGACCACUGGGACCAAUUACUGUCUUGGAUCCCGUGAAAACAUUUUAAUUUCCAAGGAAAUGUCUCAGAAAGGCCCCUCACCCCUUUUACAAAGCGGGGAGGAUCCUCCUUAUUGUCAUGCCUUAGCCCCUGCCUGUUACCCACAAGGGCAGCACACUCUUCCAAGGCCAGAGCCACAUGCUGCAGUAAGGUAACCACAUGUGGCUGCUCAAAUUUAAAAUUAUAUUAUUUGACAUUAAGUACAAUUACUGUUUUAGUUCUUCACUUGCGCUAGGCAUGUUUCAAGUUCAGCCACAUAUGGCUGGUCCCUAUCAGACUGGACAGGACAGAUAGAGGAUAUUUCCAUCAUUGCAGAAUGUUCUUUUGGACAGCACUGGCCUAGAGCAAUGGUUCUCUACUCGGGCUGCCCAUUGCAUUCCCCUGGGAGCUUAUAAAAGGUCCUGAUGCCUGGCUGGGGCUCAAGCUAAGACUCAAAGUGAAUAGUUUAGGAUGGGAUUUGGCAUUGGGAAUCUUCAAAUGUUCCUUAAGUGAUUCUAAUGCAUGGUCAACACUGGUCUGCUGAGUACCAGACUUUACUUGUUAUAAAGAUCAUGUGGAGCUUUUUAAGAAAUGUACAGAUUCCUGGGAAACUUCCCUAAGGCUUCUGAUUCAGCAGGUCUGGGGCAGGUCUCAGGAACCUGUGUUUUUAUUAAGCAUAUCAAGUAAUUCUCAUGGUCAAGUGGAUUAGCAAAAAAAAAAAAAAAAGUUGUGGAAAGCUCAUGCACCUGUUAGGUGGGUUGUGCUGGGGCUUGAGUCAUAGGCCAUGCAGUCCAGCAAGGUGGGCUUUAGGUACACACCUAUGUCACAGGUAAGGAGAAUGAAAAUUCAGGAAAGGUGAAGUCCUUUCCCAAAGUCACUAGCCAGUAAGUGGCGGCAAUGGCCUUCAGGCGUUGUCUGAGUGUUAAAGAAAGUGGGUUCUGGAGUCGUUUUGGUGUUUAAGUGCCGUUAAAUGUGUGGCCUUGGACAAGUCACUAAGCCUCUCAAAGUCAAUUUUUCCUUCUUUGUAAAUUGGAAAUCACAGCGGUACAUAUCUCCUAAGGAUGUGGCAGUGGUUAAGUGAGAUCAUGCAGCUGAAGGACUUUGUGUGGUACCAGGGGCAUGGGAGGAGCAUUGGGUUACUGUCUGGAAGGCUUCUGGCCCUACUCCUGCUUCCAUAUGGGCGUGCGUGCUCUU
RNAcentral lists this long non-coding RNA (3404 nucleotides) under Canis lupus familiaris (dog). RNAcentral describes it as "lncRNA (ENSCAFG00845022237.1)". The record is from RNAcentral. Lineage: Eukaryota; Metazoa; Chordata; Mammalia; Carnivora; Canidae.